RNAcentral lists this ribosomal RNA (253 nucleotides) under uncultured bacterium. RNAcentral describes it as "partial 16S ribosomal RNA". It matches the Rfam family "Bacterial small subunit ribosomal RNA", at positions 524 to 776 of the family's 1533-position model. The record is from RNAcentral.
UACGGAGGGUGUUAGCGUUGUUCGGAUUUACUGGGCGUAAAGCGCGCGUAGGCGGUUUAAUAAGUUGGAAGUGAAAGCCCAGAGCUUAACUUUGGAACUGCUUUCAAAACUAUUAAACUAGAGUAUGGUAGGGGAUAGUGGAAUUCCUAGUGUAGAGGUGAAAUUCGUAGAUAUUAGGAGGAACACCAGAGGCGAAAGCGACUAUCUGGGCCAUUACUGACGCUAAGGCGCGAAAGCGUGGGGAGCAAACAGG